Molecule: transfer RNA, 90 nt
Filed under: Proteobacteria bacterium CG1_02_64_396
Lineage: Bacteria; Pseudomonadati; Pseudomonadota
Also listed under: 1 other name
Description: tRNA-Ser
Rfam family: tRNA
About the family: Transfer RNA (tRNA) molecules are approximately 80 nucleotides in length. Their secondary structure includes four short double-helical elements and three loops (D, anti-codon, and T loops).
Source: RNAcentral
GGAAGGGUGGCCGAGUGGUUGAAGGCUCCGGUCUUGAAAACCGGCGAGGGGUUAAACCCUCCGUGGGUUCGAAUCCCACCCCUUCCGCCA